GACGUAGGGCGCGAGCGUUGUCCGGAUUUAUUGGGCGUAAAGAGCUCGUAGGCGGCUUGUCGCGUCGUCCGUGAAAACCCACAGCUCAACUGUGGGCUUGCGGUCGAUACGGGCAGGCUAGGGUUCGGUAGGGGAGACUGGAAUUCCUGGUGUAGCGGUGAAAUGCGCAGAUAUCGGGAGGAACACCAGUAGCGAAGGCGACACUCUGGGCCGGUACUGACGCUGAGGUGCGAAAGCGUGGGGAGCAAACAGG
RNAcentral lists this ribosomal RNA (253 nucleotides) under uncultured bacterium. Its description in RNAcentral is "partial 16S ribosomal RNA". It matches the Rfam family "Bacterial small subunit ribosomal RNA", at positions 524 to 776 of the family's 1533-position model. The record is from RNAcentral.